AGUGAACGCUGGCGGUAGGCCUAACACAUGCAAGUCGAACGGCAGCACAGUAAGAGCUUGCUCUUACGGGUGGCGAGUGGCGGACGGGUGAGGAAUACAUCGGAAUCUACUUUUUCGUGGGGGAUAACGUAGGGAAACUUACGAUAAUACCUCAUACGACCUACGGGUGAAAGCAGUGGAUCUUCGGACCUUGCGCGACUGAAUGAGACGAUGCCGGAUUAGCUAGUUGGCGGGGUAAAGGCCCACCAAGGCGACGAUACGUAGCUGGUCUGAGAGGAUGAUCAGCCACACUGGAACUGAGACACGGUCCAGACUCCUACGGGAGGCAGCAGUGGGGAAUAUUGGGCAAUGGGCGCAAGCCUGACCCAGCCACACCGCGUGGGUGAAGAAGGUCUUCGGGUUGUAAAGCUCUUUUGUUGGGAAAGAAAAGCAGCAGAUUUAUCCCCGGCUGUUUUGACGGUACCCAAACAAUAAGCACCGGCUAACUUCGUG
Molecule: ribosomal RNA, 492 nt
Filed under: uncultured bacterium
Lineage: Bacteria
Description: partial 16S ribosomal RNA
Rfam family: Bacterial small subunit ribosomal RNA
Source: RNAcentral